AAGAGUUAGGGUCUCUCUAGGCCCGACCUCCCAACCCUUUGUUUACUUUGCUGCAUGUUGCUUUGGCGGACCCGUCUCACGACCGCCCUGGGACCGCCGAGAGGUGCCCCUGGGCCCGUGUCCGCCGAUAGCCAACCUAAACUCUUGAAUGAAUCGUGUUUUAUGUCUGAGUCUAUUGAUUAAAUCAAAAGCAA
This 194-nucleotide unclassified non-coding RNA is filed under the name uncultured Ascomycota. Its description in RNAcentral is "sequence contains ITS1". The record is from RNAcentral. Lineage: Eukaryota; Fungi; Ascomycota.